UACGGGGGGAGCAAGCGUUGUUCGGAUUUACUGGGCGUAAAGGGCGCGUAGGCGGUCAGCACAAGUCAGUUGUGAAAUCUCCGAGCUUAACUCGGAAAGGUCAACUGAUACUGUGCGACUAGAGUGCGGAAGGGGCAACUGGAAUUCUUGGUGUAGCGGUGAAAUGCGUAGAUAUCAAGAGGAACACCUGCGGCGAAGGCGGGUUGCUGGGCCGACACUGACGCUGAGUGAGCGAAAGCCAGGGGAGCAAACGGG
This 255-nucleotide ribosomal RNA is filed under the name uncultured bacterium. RNAcentral describes it as "partial 16S ribosomal RNA". It matches the Rfam family "Bacterial small subunit ribosomal RNA", at positions 524 to 776 of the family's 1533-position model. The record is from RNAcentral.